This is a non-coding RNA of Pelobates cultripes (western spadefoot toad), 261 nucleotides long. NCBI's taxonomy places the organism in Eukaryota, Metazoa, Chordata, Amphibia, Anura, Pelobatidae. The record is from the annotation of a GenBank genome assembly.
CUCUUUGGAGACUCGUUUAUGAGGGAUCUCUCCAAACAUGUAGCGGUAUUCACUACCCUAAAUAAGGCCCAAUCCUCCUUGCGCAGGGUUUUUUGUUCCCAGUCAGGACGUUUUUCUGAGAGAGCUGGACGUUCUAGAGGCCGAACAAACAGCAGAGUUGCCUUCACAGGCUACAGGCCUCGCCCUUCAGAGAAUUAUUGGCACUCAGGACAACCCCGACCCUACCACAGGCAGUUAUUCACCAAUAGAGGAUCUAACCAG